Molecule: ribosomal RNA, 503 nt
Filed under: Leiopelma hamiltoni
Lineage: Eukaryota; Metazoa; Chordata; Amphibia; Anura; Leiopelmatidae
Description: partial 12S ribosomal RNA
Rfam family: Bacterial small subunit ribosomal RNA
Source: RNAcentral
CCACUAUGCCUAACCUUAAACUUUGACAAUUUACACACUACUUCCGCCAGGGUACUACGAGCUACAGCUUAAAACCCAAAGGACUUGGCGGUGCCCCACACCACCUAGAGGAGCCUGUUCUAUAAUCGAUAACCCCCGCUAAACCUCACCACUUAUUGCCAAUACCGCCUAUAUACCACCGUCGCCAGCCCACCCUGUGAAGGACUUCAAGUAGGCACAAUGGUCACCACCAAAACGUCAGGUCAAGGUGUAGCACAUGAAGUGGGAAGAAAUGGGCUACAUUUUCUACCCUAGAACAAACGAACGAUCAUUAUGAAACAUGCUCAGAAGGUGGAUUUAGCAGUAAAAAGGAACAAAAGAGUCCUUUUAAAUCCGGCCCUGGGGCGCGUACACACCGCCCGUCACCCUCUUCAACCCUGCAAGAACUAUAAUUAAUUAAAACGCCACAAAAGAAGAGGCAAGUCGUAACAUGGUAAGUAUACUGGAAAGUAUACUUGGAAAAU